Molecule: ribosomal RNA, 484 nt
Filed under: uncultured bacterium
Lineage: Bacteria
Description: partial 16S ribosomal RNA
Rfam family: Bacterial small subunit ribosomal RNA
Source: RNAcentral
AUUGAACGCUGGCGGCAUGCUUUACACGUGCGAGUCGAACGGCAGCGCGGGCUUCGGCCUGGCGGCGAGUGGCGAACGGGUGAGUAAUACAUCGGAACGUGCCCAGUAGUGGGGGAUAGCUCGGCGAAAGCCGGAUUAAUACCGCAUACGACCUGAGGGUGAAAGCGGGGGAUCUUCGGACCUCGCGCUAUUGGAGCGGCCGAUGGCAGAUUAGCUAGUUGGUGGGGUAAAGGCCUACCAAGGCGACGAUCUGUAGCUGGUCUGAGAGGACGACCAGCCACACUGGGACUGAGACACGGCCCAGACUCCUACGGGAGGCAGCAGUGGGGAAUUUUGGACAAUGGGCGAAAGCCUGAUCCAGCAAUGCCGCGUGUGUGAUGAAGGCCUUCGGGUUGUAAAGCACUUUUGGCGGGAACGAAAAGGACUGUGCCAAUACCACGGUUCGAUGACGGUACCCGCAGAAUAAGCACCGGCUAACUACGUG